GCAGAAGAUGAGGUGGACCUGGACAGGCGGGCAUAUGCUGGUCAGUACAUCUCCUGAGAGCAGGGCUACUUUGCCUCGAGGCCCUUGGGUCUGGGGGCUGUGGGCCAGGUAGGGCAGGUCAGCAGUGUCCUCAUGCCAACCCCUUUCCCCUAGUGUGGGUCUCAGAGGUCAUGCUGCAGCAGACCCAGGUUGCCACUGUGAUCAACUACUAUACCGGAUGGAUGAAGGUGACUCCAGGGGAGGAAGGGAAGGGUCAUGGGUCAGACCCCAGAUGAGAGCCUGUACUUUGGGGUGGGUGUAGAGAAGGCUUCCUCUACCACCUUCGCCCUUGACCUUGUCUUUUUCUGCCUGCCUGUGGCUAUAGAAGUGGCCUACACUGCAGGACCUGGCCAGUGCUUCCCUGGAGGAGGUGAAUCAACUCUGGGCUGGCCUGGGCUACUAUUCUCGUGGCCGGCGGCUGCAGGAGGGAGCUCGGAAGGUAAGGGGAUGGCAGGAGGGUAGGAACCCAGGAGUCUUGGGUGUCUCAUAAUCUUGAGUCUUGCACUCCAAUCAGGUGGUAGAGGAGCUAGGGGGCCACAUGCCACAUACAGCAGAGACCCUGCAGCAGUUCCUGCCUGGCGUGGGGCGCUACACAGCUGGGGCCAUUGCCUCUAUCGCCUUUGGCCAGGCAACCGGUGUGGUGGAUGGCAACGUAGCACGGGUGCUGUGCCGUGUUCGAGCCAUUGGUGCUGAUCCCAACAGCACCCUUGUCUCCCAGCAGCUCUGGUAGGAUGUUGGGGUAACAAGGGUGCUUCAGGGGUGUCUCCAAAGGAGCUCUGGCUCACAGCAGUGUUCCCUUCUUUUAGGGGUCUAGCCCAGCAGCUGGUGGACCCAGCCCGGCCGGGAGAUUUCAACCAAGCAGCCAUGGAGCUAGGUGCCACAGUGUGUACCCCA
Molecule: small RNA, 933 nt
Filed under: Pongo abelii (Sumatran orangutan)
Lineage: Eukaryota; Metazoa; Chordata; Mammalia; Primates; Hominidae
Description: retained intron
Source: RNAcentral